Molecule: ribosomal RNA, 195 nt
Filed under: uncultured bacterium
Lineage: Bacteria
Description: partial 16S ribosomal RNA
Rfam family: Bacterial small subunit ribosomal RNA
Source: RNAcentral
CCUACGGGAGGCAGCAGUGGGGAAUAUUGGACAAUGGACGAAAGCCUGAUCCAGCCAUGCCGCGUGUGUGAAGAAGGCCUUUUGGUUGUAAAGCAGUUUUUGCGAGGAAGAGGCUACUUAGAUUUGUACUCAACGAAAGGGGACGUUACUCUCAGAAUAAGCACCGGCUAAGUCUGUGCCAGCAGCCGCGGUAAU